This is a long non-coding RNA of Vicia villosa (hairy vetch), 971 nucleotides long. RefSeq lists it as uncharacterized. The transcript has 3 exons. Lineage: Eukaryota; Viridiplantae; Streptophyta; Magnoliopsida; Fabales; Fabaceae. The record is from RefSeq and is a predicted model, not a curated record.
UUCAAAUUUUCUUGAUUGUCAUGAUUCUUAUGGACUGUGCAUAGAUGUGUUACUGAAUUCACAAUUAUACAGUGCAGUUGAAAUUAGCUUAUGCUGAAGCUUCAUCUAAAUUAAACUAUAAGUGUAAGCAUUUACUGAUUAUAUAUUAUUAAUUGUUUGUUUUGUUUGAAGAUAGGUUCUACAGUUUACUUAUUUUCCUCUCCCGAUUAUAGAUAAUUUGACAGAGGCAUUUUUGUUUUGUCGCAUUUUGUCGGGGAUGUACAUCGGAUCUCAAUGCUUCUCAAGUUUCAAACGCCACAGUUGCUGCUUCACAUCGAUACCGCCCGUAAAGCUUCCGGACCAAUAUGUAAUUUAGAAUGGUUUAUAACAUUAAUACAAACCAGUUAUAAUGAAUGCUUAUAUUAUGUGCUCACUCCUUGGAAUUUUUGUGCAUUGGUUUGUAUCUAUCUCAAUCUGUAUAUAUUAUUUAAGGAAUGGGAUCCCAAUACGAUUCGAGAUAUUUGCUUCUUACUUUAUAGAAUAGGUGUCAUAUUUUCCAUAUUUGAUUCAUUAUAGAUUCAAAAUGUUAUAUGAAAGCGCAUAAACACGUCAAUGCUAUUUGUAGGUGAGUCACAUCUCCGUGUUGUCUCCCAAUCGUAUGGGCUUGAAUGACAAGGAUAUUGUUGCACUGUAUGGGGCACAUACACUGAAGAUGCUUUGUUUAAGAUUCAUGAUAGAGUGGUUGUUGAGGAAUUACACAGUGAUCAGGAGGAAGAAUGCGAUCCUCAAGUGACUUCUAGGCUAUUAGUGCUGGCUGAUCAGAUAAGAUGUGUUCUUGGAAAAAGCGGGCAGAUUGUUCAGACCAUGCGCAUUGAAACUGAGGCUCAUAUUCGUAUACUUAAGGAUGACCAUAUGCCUCUAUGUGCCUUGCGCUCUGAUGAGCUUGUGCAGGUUAAUUUUAUUCAAAUUACAUUAUACUCAUAGUUCUUUUU